This 544-nucleotide ribosomal RNA is filed under the name uncultured bacterium. Its description in RNAcentral is "partial 16S ribosomal RNA". It matches the Rfam family "Bacterial small subunit ribosomal RNA", at positions 355 to 891 of the family's 1533-position model. The record is from RNAcentral.
UGGGGAAUUUUGGACAAUGGGCGCAAGCCUGAUCCAGCCAUGCCGCGUGCGGGAAGAAGGCCUUCGGGUUGUAAACCGCUUUUGUCAGGGAAGAAAUCUUCUGAGUUAAUACCUCGGGAGGAUGACGGUACCUGAAGAAUAAGCACCGGCUAACUACGUGCCAGCAGCCGCGGUAAUACGUAGGGUGCAAGCGUUAAUCGGAAUUACUGGGCGUAAAGCGUGCGCAGGCGGUUUUGUAAGACAGAGGUGAAAUCCCCGGGCUCAACCUGGGAACUGCCUUUGUGACUGCAAGGCUUGAGUGCGGCAGAGGGGGGAUGGAGUUCCGCGUGUAGCAGUGAAAUGCGUAGAUAUGCGGAGGAACACCGAUGGCGAAGGCAAUCCCCUGGGCCUGCACUGACGCUCAUGCACGAAAGCGUGGGGAGCAAACAGGAUUAGAUACCCUGGUAGUCCACGCCCUAAACGAUGUCAACUGGUUGUUGGGAAGGUUCCUUCUCAGUAACGUAGCUAACGCGUGAAGUUGACCGCCUGGGGAGUACGGCCGCAA